Molecule: small RNA, 120 nt
Filed under: Salmonella enterica subsp. salamae
Lineage: Bacteria; Pseudomonadati; Pseudomonadota; Gammaproteobacteria; Enterobacterales; Enterobacteriaceae
Description: RtT sRNA
Rfam family: RtT RNA
About the family: This family represents a bacterial cis-regulatory element known as RtT RNA. The exact function of RtT is unknown although it is thought that it may be involved in changing the cellular response in relation to amino acid starvation.
Source: RNAcentral
GAAGAGGAUGAGAACCUCCGGGGGCAAGAGGUUCGACUCGAGCGACGCGAGAGAACGUUGCGUCAGCAACGGCCCGCAGGGCGAGCCACGCAGUGGCGAGUCAUCCUCUCCUGGCCUGCU